Molecule: long non-coding RNA, 586 nt
Filed under: Mus spicilegus (steppe mouse)
Lineage: Eukaryota; Metazoa; Chordata; Mammalia; Rodentia; Muridae
Description: lncRNA (ENSMSIG00000011297.1)
Source: RNAcentral
GUUUGGAUGAAGGUCCAUGUUUUUUGUGCUUUCUGUUGAUUUCCAGCCAAUGGAUUCUGACUGUCUCAGGCCCACUGUUAAACCUCCACUCCAUCUGGAUAAUUAUAUUUCCUGCCUCCCACCCCAGUUUUUCAAUUAUUUUUUUCUCAGAAUACAGGAGUUGGAAAAGCAUGAGAACACUCUGAUACACAAGGAAGGAGUCUCUUGCAAUAUAACAGUGUUAGUCACUGAACUGUUUGGACAGCGAUGUUAAUAUCUUCGGAGAGCUCACAACUGUGGUGUACCAGGGUUCAUUUCAGUACGUGGCCUGGGAAAGGCAAGUUAAGGCCGUCCAGGAACCGAAGCUACAAGGAAACAACCAUUUGCCAACGUUACCAGCAUGUGCAGAAAAACAACCGUCCACUCUAGGGUGCUCCUUUCUGCCUGGAGUUAGCAAUUGUGUGCCAGCCAUGUGAAGCCCUUCGCUAUCUGUAACAACCUCACCCCUGAACUCAACUGCAUUUAUGUCUGUUUCAUUGUCUCUUGACCCAACCCACAGUUGCAAACAGAAGAAUAAAAUUUAACCCUAAAAAGACUGAGAAGUACA